UGUCUAGUAGUUAAUACCUUAUAACGACGGAUUGCAAAUCUGUAGUAGCCGUGAGCCUAGAUUU
RNAcentral lists this transfer RNA (64 nucleotides) under Vignadula atrata. RNAcentral describes it as "tRNA-Cys". Lineage: Eukaryota; Metazoa; Mollusca; Bivalvia; Mytilida; Modiolidae. The record is from RNAcentral.